CUCAACUAAUGUGUGGAAGUGUGUCAAAGGUGUGUGUGGUGGGUCCGUGUACGGAUCUGGUAAUUGGAUUUUCCGUUCUGAAACGGGAAUUGAAAAACAAAAAACGAGUGGUUAUUUGAUUUUCGUUUUAAAAUACAAAAAUUAAAAUUUAAAUACAAGGCGUUUUUCCUUUUCACGAACAAAAACGGAUAUACGAUUUUUUUUAAAUGCUUUGAUUUUCAUUUUAUAUUUAACAAGAAAGUAAAAUCAGUAAGAGACGGAAACGAAAAAAGGUCAGUUUUUUUUAUUUUCUGAGACCGGAAGUGGUCAUCAGCAAGUGUGGAGCCAAACGACAACAAGAUUCUCAGAGGGCGGAGCCAGAGAGCAGUGAUUGGUCAGACAGAUAAUAUAGAAGACAGCGCGCUAGCGUAUCUAGUCUCUGUAUAUCGAUGGUGGGCACGUCUGGUGGCAUCUCUGGCUGCUGUUGAUCUUGUUUCUGGAGUAAAACACGGUGGAAGCUGAAUUAGUGAGGAUGACUCCUGCUCCUGUCAUCUCUAAGCUCCUCACACAUCUUUACCUGCACAUGAGGAAAAUCACUCCUGUAGAAUGCAGAUGUUCAGAGGGAGAUGAUGCCACAUCUGGUCCAGCUGAUGGAAGGUCUUGAAGUUCUCUGACUGGCCUCGACUGAAGAUGGUCGUCUCACUGGAUUUAAGGUUCAGAUGCUCAGUAACAAACUCCACCAAUGAGCCAACAGGGAAGCUUUAGGUUUAUUAAAUGUUGCUAUGAAGGUAUCACUGUUUUUCUUUGUGAAUGCAAUGUGCUCCAACUGAAACUUGAAUUAGAACUUAGAAGUAAAUCCUUCCAUCUGAAAGGAUUUAGUUGCAUUAAUAACCUCAUAACAUUCUAAUUUUUAUUCCAGUCUUGGUUGGAAAUAGAAUCUCUGUAUUGAUUCAGGUAAAAACUGAACUUCACAGCAUGUUGAAGCAAAACAACCAGAUGAAAACUGUGAUGGUGUUGGAUUGUCAGACCGUAAUGUUGCAGCUCAAAGCAGCUUUUCUAUCUCAGUUCAUUCUGACAUUCAGCUAUGAAUCAACACAGCAGAUGGUGAUCCAUGCUGUGGAAGUCUCACAUCUCCUGAUUUAAUGGAGCUGCUUUGCACUUUUUACACUGUUUAUUCACCAACACUUUAUUUAAUAAAAGUCCCAUCUAGUUUUUAUGAGGAAUGUGAUGUUUUAAUUUCUCUGUGAAUAACUGCAGUCUAAUGCAACAGCUGGAGUUGUAACAUCUGUCCUGAUAUUGAUCAUGAAGUAUUGAUCAGAAUACUUAUGGUCAGCAGUCAUCCCUGAAGUUUUACAUUAAAAUCUUUACUUGUGUUGUGAACUUUGGUAAGAAGCAGAAACGUUAGCGUUGCCAUGGAUACAUGAGUGUUAAAUUCUGUCCAUGUUUCCAUUUUGGGAAAUUCAGUCCAGUUCCAGAAUGUGGAGGAAUUUAGUCUCACAAUCACAGACAACAAAUAUUAUCUGAAAGUCGGGUUAUUGUUGUUUAUCAGCACAAUACAAAAAGAUUAAUGUUAGAAAUAUUCCAGUUAAGACUCUAGAAUAUCAUGAUUUAUGUAAAUUUACCUCAAUAAUAUGAAUGUUCAGGUUAAGAUUGUACAGUGAUAUUUAUUAUGUAAGUUUAGCUGAUUAAAGUUUAUGACUCUGCACUAAAAUAUUAUUUAAAUUGACAUCAUUAUUAUAAUAUUUAGGGUCAGACUCUACAGUAUUGAGAUUAAGAAAUCAAAUAUUCUAUAAAAUGUAAAUACACUGAACUCAUUUGGAUAUAUUUAAGUGAGACUCUACAAUAUUAUUUGACACAAAUCUAUCUAAAUCAAAAUUUUAAUAAUUUUCACGCCAAACAUUUACUGGACUGAUUUAAACAUUAAAAUCACUCCUUUUUAAUCCUCUGCUGUACGUUCAAACCUGAGGCCUUAAAUAGAAACACAAGUAUCUGAUUGAAGGAACUUCUGCAGAGUCCUGGUUCCAGAACAUGAUGAUAGAAUUAUAGACAAACUUUAACAAAAGCUGCCUGAGAGUUUACAGGUUUUUAUGUUGGAUUUCUUCAGUAAUUUAAUGAGCGUUAUCAGCAAUAAUCAAGUGUUCAUUUGAUGAACUUCAUUUCCUAAAACAUCCAGAAUUGGAGCUCAUAUCUUUGGCAGCUGUAAAGUUUCUGCUCCUUCAAAGUUCACAACACAAUGAAUGAAUUCCUAAAACACUCUCAAUGCUGGAGAGCGUUUGUGAUGCUGAAGCAGUGACCAGUUUUUCUGUUUCUUCUCUGGAGAUGCACAAUGAGGGACGUCUGCAGAGACUGAGAAAGAGUCUCACCACAUCCUUACAUGAGGAAAAAGACUUUAUUGAAGACUACAAUGAGAAAAACUAUCAGACAGCAGACGGCUGCAUUCAAGGUGAGCUCUGAACAUUUGAUCUGGAACAGGAAUUCAAUAACGGCAGCAUGAGCUUCAUUUCAGUCUGUAGCUGCUGAAUUCAUGGAUGAAUCAUCUGGCACUAGAGAGGAAGACCAUCAAACAUCCAUGUCAGCUGAUGGAGGUCCAAGAGUCUCACCAAACAAACAACCUACAGAGUGAAGACCUCAAAUCUGAUUGGAUGGCCUCCUAUUCAGCCACGUGUGAACAAAUGCCUCUAAGUUGAUUUGUUUUCUAAAAUAAAUCUAGUUUGAGUCCUAA
Long non-coding RNA from Amphiprion ocellaris (clown anemonefish), 2701 nucleotides. RefSeq lists it as uncharacterized. The record is from RefSeq and is a predicted model, not a curated record. NCBI's taxonomy places the organism in Eukaryota, Metazoa, Chordata, Actinopteri, Pomacentridae. The transcript is spliced from 3 exons.